UUACAUAUUUAUAAAUGAUUUAGCAGAGUUAAUUUAAUUUUUAUCAUAAGUUUAAGGUAUUUAUGAAAAUGAUUAUCCUUUAAGAGAAAUUUUGAAAAAAUGGCAUAAAAAUUGUGAUAAGAUUUAAAUUUUCCCAUACAAAUUAAGAACCUCCAAGAUAUUAAAUACAGUUUUGUUUUUAAAAACUGAUGUUUAAAGAAAAUUUUUAUCUCAAAUUAGCUGAUA
This 225-nucleotide long non-coding RNA is filed under the name Brassica rapa (field mustard). Its description in RNAcentral is "long non-coding RNA (BRAP_LNC007582)". The record is from RNAcentral. Lineage: Eukaryota; Viridiplantae; Streptophyta; Magnoliopsida; Brassicales; Brassicaceae.